Molecule: long non-coding RNA, 288 nt
Organism: Danaus plexippus (monarch butterfly)
Lineage: Eukaryota; Metazoa; Arthropoda; Insecta; Lepidoptera; Nymphalidae
Exons: 2
Source: RefSeq, a predicted model, not a curated record
AAUUUGUUCUCGCCUCGUCUCGGAUAUUUGCUGGUUGUAGUCUGUGAGUUUGUUACCUCUCCUGUUGUUUCCGGCGGUGCGGUGGCUUUCGUGCGACGCGGGAACGUUCGGCGUUCCUUUGCAGCCUGUUGACAAACAUUUGAUAGAACACCUGUUUAGAUCGCAGCUCAUCAAAAAUUUUAUAAAUUUUUUUUGUGAUAUAUUUUCCUGUUAGCAUUACGGCUUUGACCGCGUCCCCGGUAGAGGAAUCUUUAUACAUAUCGACAAUUGUAUAAUAAAACAUCUCUA